Molecule: ribosomal RNA, 441 nt
Filed under: uncultured bacterium
Lineage: Bacteria
Description: bacterial SSU rRNA
Rfam family: Bacterial small subunit ribosomal RNA
Source: RNAcentral
UGAGGAAUAUUGGUCAAUGGGCGGAAGCCUGAACCAGCCAAGUCGCGUGAGGGAAGACGGUCCUAUGGAUUGUAAACCUCUUUUGCAGGGGAGCAAGGAGCGGUACGUGUACCACGUUGGAGAGUACCCUGAGAAAAAGCAUCGGCUAACUCCGUGCCAGCAGCCGCGGUAAUACGGAGGAUGCGAGCGUUAUCCGGGUAUUUAUUAGGGUUUAAAGGGUGCGUAGGCGGACUGGUAAGUCAAGCGGGUAAAAACUGCGGUGCUCAACGCCGUAGUGCCGUUGAAACUGCCGGUCUUGAGUGAGCGAGAAGUAUGCGGAAUGCGUGGUGUAGCGGUGAAAUGCAUAGAUAUCACGCAGAACUCCGAUUGCGAAGGCAGCAUACCGGCGCUCAACUGACGCUGAGGCACGAAAGCGUGGGGAUCGAACAGGAUUAGAUACCC